UAGCAUAUCAAUAAGCGGAGGAAAAGAAACCAACCGGGAUUGCCUUAGUAACGGCGAGUGAAGCGGCAAAAGCUCAAAUUUGAAAUCUAGUACCUUUGGUGCUCGAGUUGUAAUUUGUAGAAGGUAUCUUGGAAUGGUGGCUAGCCUAUGUUCCUUGGAAAAGGACGUCAUAGAGGGUGAGAACCCCGUAUGGCUGGGCGUGCUGUUCCUUGUAAGAUUCCUUCGACGAGUCGAGUUGUUUGGGAAUGCAGCUCUAAGUGGGUGGUAAAUUCCAUCUAAAGCUAAAUAUUGGCGAGAGACCGAUAGCGAACAAGUACAGUGAUGGAAAGAUGAAAAGAACUUUGAAAAGAGAGUGAAAAAGUACGUGAAAUUGUUGAAAGGGAAGGGCAUUUGAUCAGACAUGGUGUUUUGCGCCCUCUGUUCCUUGUGGAUAGGGGACUCUCGCAGCUCACUGGGCCAACAUCAGUUUUGGCGGCCGGAUAAAACCAUAGGAACGUAGCUUGCUUCGGUAAGUGUUAUAGCCUGUGGGCCUGCGGCCAGCCGGGACUGAGGACUGCGACUUUUGUCAAGGAUGUUGGCAUAAUGGUUAAAUGCCGCCCGUCUUGAAACACGGACCAAGGAGUCUAACGUCUAUGCGAGUGUUUGGGUGUUAAACCCGUACGCGUAAUGAAAGUGAACGUAGGUUGGGGCCUUUUCGGAGGUGCACAAUCGACCGAUCCUGAUGUUUUCAGAUGGAUUUGAGUAAGAGCAUAGCUGUUGGGACCCGAAAGAUGGUGAACUAUGCCUGAAUAGGGUGAAGCCAGAGGAAACUCUGGUGGAGGCUCGUAGCGGUUCUGACGUGCAAAUCGAUCGUCGAAUUUGGGUAUAGGGGCGAAAGACUAAUCGAACCAUCUAGUAGCUGGUUCCUGCCGA
Molecule: ribosomal RNA, 912 nt
Filed under: Grigorovia transvaalensis
Lineage: Eukaryota; Fungi; Ascomycota; Saccharomycetes; Saccharomycetales; Saccharomycetaceae
Description: LSU rRNA
Rfam family: Eukaryotic large subunit ribosomal RNA
Source: RNAcentral